This 574-nucleotide ribosomal RNA is filed under the name Formica fusca complex sp. MAS-2009. RNAcentral's name for it is "partial 28S ribosomal RNA". It matches the Rfam family "Eukaryotic large subunit ribosomal RNA", at positions 286 to 612 of the family's 3401-position model. The record is from RNAcentral. Lineage: Eukaryota; Metazoa; Arthropoda; Insecta; Hymenoptera; Formicidae.
CCUAAAGCAGGGNAUAAACUCCACCUAAAGCUAAAUAANGCAGCGAGACNGAUAGCAGUCAAAUACAGUGAGGRAAAGUUGCUAAGAANUUUGAAGAGCGAGUUCCCUAGGACGCGAAACCAUCCCAAGGUAAACAGGUGGAANCUCGAAGUUAGCCGGGGCGAGGAUUCAACUGUUCUGGAGUGAGCCAGGAGUCCUCAUUAUAUUCGCUUNUGCCCGGCGGGCNGAGGUNRAUGACAGCGAAUGUCUUUGUCCACCUGUCCACAAGUUCAAUNUCGCGAUAAAGNCAUUAUCGAUUAGCGGACCAGGGCGUGNGUAUGCGAGGUCCACAGUAAAACGGCACGCGACAAACCCCCGGUUGCCCGGCCGGCUGCUCGGCGGUACGCGCAAGGUAUCAGGCCGCACUGUUUACGGUGCGUCGAGGCCGUCGCAAGCGCGCGCCACGGUACUCGGAGGUUACGGACUUUGCGCCGUCCCCGGUCCUGGCUCGCUGUUGGUUAAAGUACGGCUCACCUUCGACAGGCCUGUCGAACGUCCCUCUCCCUCCCUUGUGGGUGGCGAGGGGGNUCUAUAC